This 550-nucleotide ribosomal RNA is filed under the name uncultured bacterium. RNAcentral's name for it is "bacterial SSU rRNA". It matches the Rfam family "Bacterial small subunit ribosomal RNA", at positions 355 to 895 of the family's 1533-position model. The record is from RNAcentral.
UAGGGAAUCUUCGGCAAUGGGGGGAACCCUGACCGAGCAACGCCGCGUGAGUGAAGAAGGUUUUCGGAUCGUAAAGCUCUGUUGUUAAGGAAGAACGUGUGUGAGAGUGGAAAGUUCACACAGUGACGGUACUUAACCAGAAAGGGACGGCUAACUACGUGCCAGCAGCCGCGGUAAUACGUAGGUCCCGAGCGUUGUCCGGAUUUAUUGGGCGUAAAGCGAGCGCAGGCGGUUAGAUAAGUCUGAAGUGAAAGGCAGUGGCUCAACCAUUGUAGGCUUUGGAAACUGUUUAACUUGAGUGCAGAAGGGGAGAGUGGAAUUCCAUGUGUAGCGGGGAAAAAGGGUAGAUAUAUGGAGGAACACCGGUGGCGAAAGCGGCUCUCUGGUCUGUAACUGACGCUGAGGCUCGAAAGCGUGGGGAGCGAACAGGAUUAGAUACCCUGGUAGUCCACGCCGUAAACGAUGAGUGCUAGGUGUUAGGUCCUUUCCGGGACUUAGUGCCGCAGCUAACGCAUUAAGCACUCCGCCUGGGGAGUACGACCGCAAGGUU